This 433-nucleotide ribosomal RNA is filed under the name uncultured bacterium. RNAcentral describes it as "partial 16S ribosomal RNA". It matches the Rfam family "Bacterial small subunit ribosomal RNA", at positions 29 to 507 of the family's 1533-position model. The record is from RNAcentral.
AACGAACGCUGGCGGCAUGCCUAACACAUGCAAGUCGAACGAGACCUUCGGGUCUAGUGGCGCACGGGUGCGUAACGCGUGGGAACCUGCCCUUAGGUUCGGAAUAACUCCCCGAAAGGGGUGCUAAUACCGGAUAAUGUCUUCGGACCAAAGAUUUAUCGCCUUUGUAUGGGCCCUCGUUGGAUUAGCUUGUUGGUAGGGUAAAAGCCUACCAAGGCGACGAUCCAUAGCUGGUCUGAGAGGAUGAUCAGCCACACUGGGACUGAGACACGGCCCAGACUCCUACGGGAGGCAGCAGUGGGGAAUAUUGGAAAAUGGGCGAAAGACUGAUACAGCAAUGCAGCGUGAGUGAUGAAGGCCUUAGGGUUGUAAAGAUCUUUUACCCGGGAUGAUAAUGACAGUACCGGGAGAAUAAGCUCCGGCUAACUCCGUG